AUACGUAGGGGGCGAGCGUUGUCCGGAAUGAUUGGGCGUAAAGGGCGCGUAGGCGGCCCGGUAAGUCUGGAGUGAAAGUCCUGUUUUUAAGAUGGGAAUUGCUUUGGAUACUGUCGGGCUUGAGUGCAGGAGAGGUAAGUGGAAUUCCCAGUGUAGCGGUGAAAUGCGUAGAGCUUGGGAGGAACACCAGUGGCGAAGGCGACUUACUGGACUGUAACUGACGCUGAGGCGCGAAAGUGUGGGGAGCAAACAGGAUUAGAUACCCUGGUAGUCCACACUGUAAACGAUGAAUGCUAGGUGUAGGGGGUAUCGACCCCUUCUGUGCCGCAGUCAACACAAUAAGCAUUCCGCCUGGGGAGUACGGCCGCAAGGUUGAAACUCAAAUGAAUUGACGGGG
This 397-nucleotide ribosomal RNA is filed under the name uncultured bacterium. RNAcentral's name for it is "partial 16S ribosomal RNA". It matches the Rfam family "Bacterial small subunit ribosomal RNA", at positions 523 to 918 of the family's 1533-position model. The record is from RNAcentral.